Mustela putorius furo (domestic ferret) is the source of this 893-nucleotide long non-coding RNA. The record is from Ensembl. Lineage: Eukaryota; Metazoa; Chordata; Mammalia; Carnivora; Mustelidae.
AGCUCAUUCAGCUUGCUGCAUUGUGAGUAAUAAUGCCCCUUUCUUGUGACCGGGAUUCUUAGGUAUUCUGCAAGCUUCUAUGAAACUGUGGCAGGCUAAGUUGCUAGCUUACAUUUAGGCUAAGUAUACCGGUUCCUUUGCUGUUCUUGACAUUGAUUGCCUAAACUUCAGCAGAAGUGAGGGUGAGCCUUCAGCCUUUAUAAGAACAGAACAUGAGAAAUUUGUGUAAACCUCUGGUGAUGAGUUUUUGGAUACAAUGACAAAUGAAAGCAAUUGAUAAAACUGCUCAGCUGGAUGGUUCUUUUGCUUCAUGUCAUUGUCAUCAAGUGCCACAGGCAUCUGGAGUCUGUACUGGUUUGGAAUGUUCAAGACAUUUAAUUCAUGUGAUUCUAAUUAAUGCUGGCUGGGAGCUCUUUCAUGGAUGUUGAUGAGAACAAUACAAUUUCCUCAAUGUGACCUCUCCAUGUGGCUUGGAUGUCAGACAGCAUGGUGAUUGGUUUUUAAGAGGGAAGGUUUCAAAAAGGUGAAAGUGGACACUUCAGAUGUCCUAAGGACUAUGGAACUUACUAUCUAUCACUUCAGCUACACUUUAUUGAUCAACGAUAGUAAACAGGGUGUGCCAGAUUCAAUGAGAAGAGACUACAUGAUCUGUGAAUACUAGAAAGUCUCAUUCAUUGGGAACCAUCAUUGUGGAUCAACUACAGUAGAAGAGUUUCAGAACAUUUGUUAUCAAAUAUUUACAACAUUAGUGCCUAAAAUCCCCUCAUCUUGAGCAUUACAGUAUGUUUUGCUUCACUGUUUCUCUUUAGUUUUCAACUAUCCAGUCCUGAUUACUUACUGCCCCUAGAAUAUUCUAUAUAAAAACAGAUCAUACAUAUCUUUCCACUACUCAG